UGUACAUGUUUGCAGUAGAUGCAGUUUACAUUCAUCUUGAGAGAUCAACUCAUCUCUUCCUCGGCAAAUUCGCACACUUCAAGCUUUCCCUGGCGUGGCCUACACGACGGAGGAUACCCUCUUCUCACUAGCUGGUAAUCCAGCCCUUACUGCUGACCACAAUAAGGCCUGGCCAACAAGUCCCAUGAGGAACAGGACAUCCACCUGUUAGGGCAGAGCCCCACCCUCUUAAUUACCCCCAAACCUCACCUCCUCAUAGGUCCCACAGGAUUAGGGUUUCAACCUUGGAGCACUCUGUGGGCUAAGUGCGUGUCAAGGGAGGAGGGACGAAGCCCAGGG
This 339-nucleotide long non-coding RNA is filed under the name Heterocephalus glaber (naked mole-rat). RNAcentral describes it as "lncRNA (ENSHGLG00100036371.1)". Lineage: Eukaryota; Metazoa; Chordata; Mammalia; Rodentia; Bathyergidae. The record is from RNAcentral.